UACGGAGGGUGCUAGCGUUGUUCGGAAUCACUGGGCGUAAAGGGCGUGUAGGCGGUCUGUUAAGUCUGGUGUGAAAUCCCCCCGCUCAACGGGGGAACGGCGCCGGAUACUGGCAGACUCGAGUACCGGAGAGGAAGGUGGAAUUCCCGGUGCAGCGGUGAAAUGCGUAGAUAUCAGAAGGAACGCCGGUGGCGAAAGCGGCUCACUGGUCCGGUACUGACGCUGAGGUGCGAAAGCGUGGGGAGCAAACAGG
Molecule: ribosomal RNA, 253 nt
Filed under: uncultured bacterium
Lineage: Bacteria
Description: partial 16S ribosomal RNA
Rfam family: Bacterial small subunit ribosomal RNA
Source: RNAcentral